RNAcentral lists this ribosomal RNA (371 nucleotides) under Synalpheus nobilii. RNAcentral's name for it is "partial 16S ribosomal RNA". It matches the Rfam family "Bacterial large subunit ribosomal RNA", at positions 1951 to 2532 of the family's 2925-position model. Lineage: Eukaryota; Metazoa; Arthropoda; Malacostraca; Decapoda; Alpheidae. The record is from RNAcentral.
CAAAGGUAGCAUAAUCAAUAGUCUUUUAAUUGGAGGCUUGAAUGAAAGGUUUGACGGAAAGAAUACUGUCUCCUCAGUUUAUAUUGAAUUUAACUUUUGUGUGAAAAGGCAUUAAUGAUUUAGUGGGACGAUAAGACCCUAUAAAACUUUACAUAUGUUAUAUUAUCUUAUAGAGUUUAUUAGUGAUUAUAAGGUAAUUGAGUGUGUUUUGCUGGGGCGGCAUGAAUAUAAUUUGUAACUGUUCAAAAAAUUAAAUAUUAAUAAGUAGAUUUUGGUCCUUCAUUGAGGAGAGAAGAGUAAGUUACUUUAGGGAUAACAGCAUAAUUUUUCUUGAGAGUUCGUAUCGAAGGAAGUAGUUGUGACCUCGAUGU